This 497-nucleotide ribosomal RNA is filed under the name uncultured bacterium. RNAcentral's name for it is "partial 16S ribosomal RNA". It matches the Rfam family "Bacterial small subunit ribosomal RNA", at positions 28 to 507 of the family's 1533-position model. The record is from RNAcentral.
GAUGAACGCUGGCGGCGUGCUUAAUACAUGCAAGUCGAGCGAACAGACGAGGAGCUUGCUCCUCUGACGUUAGCGGCGGACGGGUGAGUAACACGUGGAUAACCUACUUAUAAGACUGGGAAAACCUCGGGAAACCGGAGCUUAUACCGGAUAAUAUAUUGAACCGCAUGGUGCAAUAGUGAAAGUCGGCUUUGCUGUAUCUACUAGAUGGAUCCGCGCCGCAUUAGCUAGUUGGUAGGGUAACAGCCUACGACGGCGACCAUGCGUAGCCGAGCUGAGAGGCGGAUCGGCCACACGAGAGCUGAGACACGGUCCAGACGCCUACGGGAGGCAGCAGAAGGGAAUCUUCCGCAAUAGGCGGAAGUCUGGCGGAGCGACGCCGCGUGAGUGAUGAAGGUCUUCGGAUCGUAAAGCUCUGUUAUUAGGGAAGAACAGAUGUGUAAGUAAAUAUGCACGUCUUGACGGUAACUAAUCAAAAAGCCACGGCUAACUACGUG